Molecule: unclassified non-coding RNA, 347 nt
Filed under: uncultured Basidiomycota
Lineage: Eukaryota; Fungi; Basidiomycota
Description: sequence contains ITS2
Rfam family: 5.8S ribosomal RNA (bases 1-147)
Source: RNAcentral
AACUUUCGGCAACGGAUCUCUUGGCUCUUGCAACGAUGAAGAACGCAGUAAAGUGCGAUAUGUAGUGCGAUUUGCAUGAAUCUGUGAGUCAUCAAGUAUUUGAACGCAACUUGCGCCGUGAUGAACGGCAUGUCUGUUUGAGUGUUUGUUUAAAAUGCAGUAAUGUAAUAUGGCCAUUGGUUGUCAUUGGCUCAAAGGUAGCAAGAAAAGGAGUGUAGUGGUUCCUUUGUGAGCUAGAGACCACGUGUCUUGUCACAAAGCUAUCCUAUCCCUAUCUGUACUCUCUCGUAAACCUCAAAUCAGUCAAGACUACCCGCUGAACUUAAGCAUAUCAAUAAGCGGAGGCU